AAAAAAGAAGGGCUGGAAAUAUGCCAGCACUGAGGCAAGGCAGAAAUCACCGUAUCUGGUGUGAUGUCGGGGGCAGACUCUCUUUGCCAGCUCAAGCCAAGAUAAACAGUAAUUCUAAAGUCCCGGGGAUAAUGUUUGUUUCAGAAACAAGUCCCAGAGAGAGGUGGGACCAGCCUCUUCAUGUAAAGUUAGAACAUUCCUGAUAACAGAAGAAGAAUUUCUCCUCUAGGUCCCAGAAAAGCCUGUGGCUGCUCCAGUGUCACUUCACACAAGGUGAUAUGUGACAAAGCGGAAGUUGGAAGAGAAAGACACUGUCAUCUUGAACAACUGUGAUUAAAAUAUCUUUUGCAAAUUCUACAAAAACACAGGACCAUGUGAACACACUGCUGGGUCCCCUCCCAGGGCCUUGGCAGGGGCCUCUGCAAGUGACCUGAAGCUUUAGCUUCCUUAGCAGACACUGUGCCUGGGGGUGUGGGUGCUGUGGCGUGAAUGGGGGCAGCCAGCAGCAGAGAGUUCCCUCCAGCAGUCCUUCCUUGCACUUGGCUUCAAGUUUACCUUUACAUGUCUUGGAGAUAGUCCCAUAUUAGGACAAAUAGAGGUGCCUAAUUCUACCCGCCCCCCCCAAUUCUUUUGAAUGAUAGUAUUCUAUUUUAUGAACAUCCACAUUUAGAUCAUUUCCAACCUGCCAUAGUGAAUAAUGCUGCAAAUAAUAUCCUUGCUCAAAUGGAUAUUUAGCAUUUGUGAGAAUACAUCUGUAAAACACAUUCUCAGAAGUGUGACUGCUGGGUCACAGAGUAUGUCUAGUUAAAAUUUUGAUAGAUAUUGUCAGUUGCUAUCCUUGGAGGUUGUGAGAACAUGCCAGCAGGGUGCGAGAGUGGGCAAGACUGUGUGUUAGCAAACGUUGCUGAUUCUUGCAGCAAUUUUUUUUUUUUUUUUACCUCUGUAGGUUAAAAAAAUAGUACUUUGCUGUAGUUUUAAUCUGCAUUUCUCUUAUUAAAAGUGCAGUGGCACAUGCUUUUAUAUUUUAAGAACCAUAUAGAGGUCCCCUUUUGUGGACUGUUUUUAUACUUUGUCCAUUUUUCUACGGGUUAAUCUUUUUCUUCUUUAUUUGUAAGAGUUGUUUAAAUACUUAGGAAAUUAGCCCUUGAUCUAUGGUAUAAUUGGCAAAUAUAUUCUCCUAGCUUUUCAUGUGUCUGUUGACUCUGUUUACGGUAUUUAUGUUUCCAUGGGAAAUAAUUCUAUAUUUAUGUAACUAAA
Molecule: long non-coding RNA, 1257 nt
Filed under: Homo sapiens (human)
Lineage: Eukaryota; Metazoa; Chordata; Mammalia; Primates; Hominidae
Description: HSALNT0208485
Source: RNAcentral